Molecule: transfer RNA, 69 nt
Filed under: Chrotogale owstoni (Owston's palm civet)
Lineage: Eukaryota; Metazoa; Chordata; Mammalia; Carnivora; Viverridae
Description: tRNA-Arg
Rfam family: tRNA
About the family: Transfer RNA (tRNA) molecules are approximately 80 nucleotides in length.
Source: RNAcentral
UGAUAAUUAGUUUAAUACAAAACAAAUGAUUUCGACUCAUUAAAUUAUAGUUAACUCUAUAAUUAUCAA